AUUGAACGCUGGCGGAAUGCUUUACACAUGCAAGACGAACGGCAGCACGGACUUCGGUCUGGUGGCGAGUGGCGAACGGGUGAGUAAUGUAUCGGAACGUGCCCAGUCGUGGGGGAUAACGUAGUGAAAAUUACGCUAAUACCGCAUACGAUCUAUGGAUGAAAGCGGGGGAUCGCAAGACCUCGCGCGAUUGGAGCGGCCGAUAUCAGAUUAGGUAGUUGGUGGGGUAAAGGCCCACCAAGCCAACGAUCUGUAGCUGGUCUGAGAGGACGACAAGCCACACUGGAACUGAGACACGGUCCAGACUCCUACGGGAGGCAGCAGUGGGGAAUUUUGGACAAUGGGCGAAAGCCUGAUCCGGCCAUUCCGCGUGCAGGAUGGAGGCCCUCGGGUUGUAAACUGCUUUUGUACAGAACGAAAAGGUUUCUACUAAUACUAGGAGCUCAUGACGGUACUGUAAGAAUAAGCACCGGCUAACUACGUGCCAGCCGCCGCCGUAA
This 500-nucleotide ribosomal RNA is filed under the name uncultured bacterium. RNAcentral's name for it is "partial 16S ribosomal RNA". It matches the Rfam family "Bacterial small subunit ribosomal RNA", at positions 30 to 523 of the family's 1533-position model. The record is from RNAcentral.